Long non-coding RNA from Manis pentadactyla (Chinese pangolin), 663 nucleotides. RefSeq lists it as uncharacterized. The transcript is spliced from 4 exons. The record is from RefSeq and is a predicted model, not a curated record. NCBI's taxonomy places the organism in Eukaryota, Metazoa, Chordata, Mammalia, Pholidota, Manidae.
CUCACUCGCAGCGGCGAAAAGGGCCUUGUGGAAUGUCAGUAUCAGCCAAUGAGGAGAGCGAGUGCUUGCUAGUAGCCAAUGAACAAUGGAACGUCCCUCACCUUGGGGCAAACGUAGAUCAUGUUUUACUCUCCUCAAAUAAUCUAGAAGGUGGUCAGGCCUGCGUCCAGUGGUUUUUGAAGACAGACAAUGGUAUCACAUCCAGGCUCACUGUCCAUUUCCCUGGUCGCUCGUCUUCUUGCCCAACACCGGCCUUCAAUUUGUUACUCCUCCAGGGCUAUCAAGGCCUUCUCACAAAGAAUAACGAAACCAGCUAGAUGACAUCAUGAAUCAUCUCAAGAUGCCCACCCCUCCCCAACUCUACAGCAAUGACCUCGCUGACCUCAGAAUCUGCACCCCCUUCCAGCAGGAAGUAGUUAGAGAAUGAGAUUCUACACCCAGUUCCCCAGAGGCCCAAUUAAGAAAAGUAAAAUAUGGGAAUGAAGGCAAAUUCUGGCAUGCUAAGACCCCCACCCCUUAAGAUCCAAUCACCAAUGACCAGAUGGUUGCCCACCCCUUAAGAUCCAAUCACCAAUGCAGAGCACACCCUACCCCUACUCCUUAAAAAUGCACUUCCUCACCCAUGAGCUGCUGCUCCAUUUCUCUGGGGGCAGACAUUUUCUC